CCAGAGAACUUAGCAGAGAUGCUUUGGUGCCUUCGGGAACUCUGAGACAGGUGCUGCAUGGCUGUCGUCAGCUCGUGUUGUGAAAUGUUGGGUUAAGUCCCGCAACGAGCGCAACCCUUAUCCUUUGUUGCCAGCGGUCCGGCCGGGAACUCAAAGGGGACUGCCAGUGAUAAACUGGAGGAAGGUGGGGAUGACGUCAAGUCAUCAUGGCCCUUACGAGUAGGGCUACACACGUGCUACAAUGGCGCAUACAAAGAGAAGCGACCUCGCGAGAGCAAGCGGACCUCAUAAAGUGCGUCGUAGUCCGGAUUGGAGUCUGCAACUCGACUCCAUGAAGUCGGAAUCGCUAGUAAUCGUGGAUCAGAAUGCCACGGUGAAUACGUUCCCGGGCCUUGUACACACCGCCCGUCACACCAUGGGAGUGGGUUGCAAAAGAAGUAGGUAGCUUAACCUUCGGGAGGGCGCUUACCACUUUGUGAUUCAUGACUGGGGUGAAGUCGUAACAAGGUAAGCGUAGUGCU
Molecule: ribosomal RNA, 521 nt
Filed under: uncultured bacterium
Lineage: Bacteria
Description: bacterial SSU rRNA
Rfam family: Bacterial small subunit ribosomal RNA
Source: RNAcentral